Molecule: long non-coding RNA, 715 nt
Filed under: Mus caroli (Ryukyu mouse)
Lineage: Eukaryota; Metazoa; Chordata; Mammalia; Rodentia; Muridae
Description: Pvt1 oncogene (MGP_CAROLIEiJ_G0005092.1)
Rfam family: Pvt1 oncogene conserved region 1 (bases 8-164)
Source: RNAcentral
GCGGCCGCCGAGCACAUGGACCCGCUGGUCAAGCGGGCUCGGCAAGGCCAGGAUGAAGAGAAGCUGCGAACUUAGCACUCCCAGAGACCCCCGAGUGGAUAUCCGCGUGGAAAGGAUGUUGGCAGCCCCGGUGACCUCGGAGUCACGGCUGGAUCCACCCUCUUCAUACCCUUGAAGCGUUCCAGAAGGAUUUUGAGGUCCUUUCCUAAAUCAAAGGUGGAAUAUUUGGGGAUUUGGAAAAUUGAGAUGAGAAGCAUUGACUUAAGAGAUGCCAAGUAACUCAGCAGAUGUCACACAGACGAUAAAUAGCAAAGAUGGAAGUCUUCAUGCCGGAGGCAAUCCUAUAAGACAGCUGAGUUCUCCAGAGCUGGAGACAGACUUGCUCAGGUGAUAGAUCCAGCCAUGAUACUGACCCUAAGAGAAUGAGACACUCUGCAGAAGACUUAGAAGAUUCCUGAGACUGGGAAAGGUGCCUAGAAAUCCUGAGAAGAGUGAAGAAGACUCGGCUCUCCAGUGUGAUUUUCCAACAGGAGUCAAAUAUUAAAGGACAUGAGCUUGGGGGAAAAGAUGGGUGGUGCUAAACAGCCUGAGUUCAUCCUCGCUAUCCUCUUCAUAAGGAUAGCAAGAAGAACCCCAGAAAUGGCUCAUGCUUAAGGUUUCUCACCACGGUCACACCUACAACACACUGAUUGACAAUAUUGGUUUACAGCACACA